RNAcentral lists this ribosomal RNA (442 nucleotides) under uncultured bacterium. Its description in RNAcentral is "partial 16S ribosomal RNA". It matches the Rfam family "Bacterial small subunit ribosomal RNA", at positions 338 to 795 of the family's 1533-position model. The record is from RNAcentral.
CCUACGGGAGGCAGCAGUGGGGAAUAUUGGGCAAUGGGCGCAAGCCUGACCCAGCAACGCCGCGUGAAGGAAGAAGGCUUUCGGGUUGUAAACUUCUUUUUAGAGGGAAGAGAAGAAGACGGUACCUCUUGAAUAAGCCACGGCUAACUACGUGCCAGCAGCCGCGGUAAUACGUAGGUGGCAAGCGGUGUCCGGAUUUACUGGGGGUAAAGGGCGUGCAGCCGGGCUGACAAGUCAGAGGUGAAAUCCCGCGGCUCAACCGCGGAACUGCAUUUGAAACUGUCAGUCUUGUGUACCGGAGAGGUCAGCGGAAUGCGUGGUGUAGCGGUGAAAUGCGUAGAUAUAAGGAAGAACACCGGUGGCGAAGGCAGAUGACUGGACGGCAACUGACGGUGAGGCGCGAAAGCGUGGGGAGCAAACAGGAUUAGAUACCCCAGUAGUC